GUGGGGAAUUUUGGACAAUGGGCGAAAGCCUGAUCCAGCAAUGCCGCGUGCAGGAUGAAGGCCCUCGGGUUGUAAACUGCUUUUGUACGGAACGAAAAGCCUGGGGCUAAUAUCCCCGGGUCAUGACGGUACCGUAAGAAUAAGCACCGGCUAACUACGUGCCAGCAGCCGCGGUAAUACGUAGGGUGCAAGCGUUAAUCGGAAUUACUGGGCGUAAAGCGUGCGCAGGCGGUUUUGUAAGACAGUGGUGAAAUCCCCGGGCUCAACCUGGGAACUGCCAUUGUGACUGCAAAGCUAGAGUGCGGCAGAGGGGGAUGGAAUUCCGCGUGUAGCAGUGAAAUGCGUAGAUAUGCGGAGGAACACCGAUGGCGAAGGCAAUCCCCUGGGCCUGCACUGACGCUCAUGCACGAAAGCGUGGGGAGCAAACAGGAUUAGAAACCCUAGUAGUCC
RNAcentral lists this ribosomal RNA (450 nucleotides) under uncultured bacterium. Its description in RNAcentral is "partial 16S ribosomal RNA". It matches the Rfam family "Bacterial small subunit ribosomal RNA", at positions 354 to 796 of the family's 1533-position model. The record is from RNAcentral.